RNAcentral lists this ribosomal RNA (492 nucleotides) under uncultured Actinomycetes bacterium. Its description in RNAcentral is "bacterial SSU rRNA". It matches the Rfam family "Bacterial small subunit ribosomal RNA", at positions 388 to 896 of the family's 1533-position model. The record is from RNAcentral. Lineage: Bacteria; Bacillati; Actinomycetota; Actinomycetes.
GCAGCACGCCGCGUGCGGGAUGAAGGCCUUCGGGCUGUAAACCGCUUUCAGCAGGAACGAAAAUGACGGUACCUGCAGAAGAAGGAGCGGCCAACUACGUGCCAGCAGCCGCGGUGACACGUAGGCUCCAAGCGUUGUCCGGAUUUAUUGGGCGUAAAGAGCUCGUAGGCGGUUUAGUAAGUCGGGUGUGAAAACUCUGGGCUUAACCCGGAGACGCCAUCCGAUACUGCUAUGACUUGAGUUCAGGAGGGGAGCGGGGAAUUCCUAGUGUAGCGGUGAAAUGCGCAGAUAUUAGGAGGAACACCGGUGGCGAAGGCGCCGCUCUGGACUGAAACUGACGCUGAGGAGCGAAAGCAUGGGGAGCGAAAGGGAUUAGAUACCCCUGUAGUCCUGGCCGUAAACGAUGAACACUAGGUGUCGGGGGAAUCGACCCCCUCGGUGUCGUAGCCAACGCGUUAAGUGUUCCGCCUGGGGAGUACGCACGCAAGUGUG